RNAcentral lists this long non-coding RNA (1287 nucleotides) under Homo sapiens (human). Its description in RNAcentral is "HSALNT0057512". The record is from RNAcentral. Lineage: Eukaryota; Metazoa; Chordata; Mammalia; Primates; Hominidae.
GAAAAGUGAGUCCUAUGAACUGAAUAUCUGUGUCCCCCACCAAAACUCAUGUUGAACCCCUACCCCUCAAUGUGAUAAUAUUUGGAGGUGAGGCCUUUGGAAGGUAAUUAGGUUUAGAUGAGGUCUUGAAGGUGAGGCCCACAUGAUGAGAUUAUUUUCCUUAUAAGAAGAGAGAGGGACAAGAGCUCACUCUAUCUCUGCCAUGUGAGGACACAGAAAGAAAGCAACUAUCUGCAUGCUAGGAAGUGGUCCUCACCAGAAGCCAACUACUUGGGCACCCUGAUCUCGGACAUCCAGCCUCCAGAACUCUAGCUCUGCAUGACAGCAUUGAAUACAAAUAUCACUGAUGAUGAUGAAUGGAUUGAGGAAUGCGGAAUGCAUUGUACUAAAAGGGGUUGCUGAGCAUUGGAGGUGACCCAGUAUUAGAGUAUAUGAUUCUUCAUUUGCUACAAGAGAACACCUCAUCUGGGUCACCAACAGCUUUCUGACGAAUGCUGAGGAAAUUGUGUGCAACUAAUUCCUACAACGAGAAUCCCGUACCCACUGUGAUGGGUGAUCUGUUUGCUCAAGACAGAGGAGCCCAUUAAGCAAGCAUCACGUAUGACCUGUUACCGGGGUUUAGACACCAUCUGCAGCCUGGCUUGCUGCCCAUUGCACGUUGUGGCCGUGAAUCAACAUUGUGACAGAGAGGGCACUGGGUCAGCUACAUUCCAUUAAUGGAUCAAAGUGUUUCAUUUAGAUUCCUACAGCAAAGGAGAAGGAAUAUGGAUGAUAUGUAGCCUGGGAUGGACAAAAGCUUAGUUGGCAGAAACAGACAUAUAGAAUUUUUUAAUGUAAAUCUGACAAAGCCAAAGUCCCUGAAUUAUUUUUGUCUGCAAUCAAUCCUUCAGAAGAAUCUCUCACAUCUUCACUUUUGUGCAGUAUGUUAACUAUGAACAAAAUGAUAGUGUAUGUCAGUCAAAUGUAAUACUUAUAUUAAAACCUGAUUAUUAAUGCAGAAGCUCAUGGAAAGUAAGGUUAAUCUGAAUAAUAUAUUAUUUCUCUUAGUCCACAAUCUAUCAUUUCACAAACCAUGGUUAAUAGAAUGACAAAAAUAAAAAGCUUUGUUUAAAUGAAAAUGUAUAAUAUAUUCUUCAUCUCAUUUAUAUCUUAUUGUGUUAGGUAGGCGAACAUAGCUAGUCUGUGAAUGUGAUAAAAAGAAGAUGAUACAUUUCUUUGUUUUAAAAAUCUUAAGUAUUCCUGCUAAAUAGUGAGUUUCCAAAGGCUUGCUAUUAUUUAAAAUAUUGC